RNAcentral lists this ribosomal RNA (253 nucleotides) under uncultured bacterium. RNAcentral describes it as "partial 16S ribosomal RNA". It matches the Rfam family "Bacterial small subunit ribosomal RNA", at positions 524 to 776 of the family's 1533-position model. The record is from RNAcentral.
UACAGAGGUCUCAAGCGUUAUUCGGAUUCAUUGGGCGUAAAGGGUGCGUAGGUGGCGAUGUAAGUCUGGUGUGAAAUCUCGGAGCUUAACUCCGAAACUGCAUUGGAUACUGCGUUGCUUGAGGAUUGUAGAGGAGAGUGGAAUUCACGGUGUAGCAGUGAAAUGCGUAGAUAUCGUGAGGAAGACCAGUUGCGAAGGCGACGCUCUGGGCAAUUCCUGACACUGAGGCACGAAGGCCAGGGGAGCAAACGGG